ACGAAUCGAGCGACAUCUAGUGAAAUUUCAGCUUACUGAGUGCAAGUUAUUGCAAGCACAAUAUAUUUACUUAGAGUUAGAGUAAAAUUAAGAUAAUAGAUGGCGCAAACGGAUUUUUUUUCUCAACGUUGACAUGUUAGUAUUAUAAUCUGUGACAAUGAUCUGUGACAUUGUCAAGGUGACAGUUGUUAGACUUGUUAGUUGACAUACGAUUAUAUCUGAUGUUUGGUGGGCAAAGAAUACAAGGUCUUUGUUUGGUGGGGUUUAUUGAUUACGUCUUCAUUUUGUAUUGGCAAAAAUAUAUCUCCAACUCCUAUCUCUAAAGACGAUGAUAACCAUUAUGAAGAAUGACAUGCAAAGGCUAUUUGAACCACAUAUCAACAAUUUUCUGACCAUGACCAAGUGAUGAAUAUGAUACAAGUCUACCUCAUGAAAGCCACACUACUUUUCAAAGAAAAAUAUUUUCUUUGGAGUUGUAGGUAUUAUAGUGAAAACUUAAUCCUGACUUCUGUUCUGCAUAAAUGAGAAUCGCACUAUGCCAGGUA
This is a long non-coding RNA of Pectinophora gossypiella (pink bollworm), 545 nucleotides long. RefSeq lists it as uncharacterized. The record is from RefSeq and is a predicted model, not a curated record. NCBI's taxonomy places the organism in Eukaryota, Metazoa, Arthropoda, Insecta, Lepidoptera, Gelechiidae. The transcript is spliced from 2 exons.